RNAcentral lists this ribosomal RNA (468 nucleotides) under uncultured bacterium. RNAcentral's name for it is "partial 16S ribosomal RNA". It matches the Rfam family "Bacterial small subunit ribosomal RNA", at positions 28 to 507 of the family's 1533-position model. The record is from RNAcentral.
GACGAACGCUGGCGGCGUGCUUAACACAUGCAUGUCGAACGGAAAGGCCCUGCUUUUGUGGGGUGCUCGAGUGGCGAACGGGUGAGUAACACGUGAGUAACCUGCCCUUGACUUUGGGAUAACUUCAGGAAACUGGGGCUAAUAUCGGAUAGGAGCUCCUGCUGCAUGGUGGGGGUUGGAAAGUUUCGGCGGUUGGGGAUGGACUCGCGGCUUAUCAGCUUGUUGGUGGGGUAGUGGCUUACCAAGGCUUUGACGGGUAGCCGGCCUGAGAGGGUGACCGGCCACAUUGGGACUGAGAUACGGCCCAGACUCCUACGGGAGGCAGCAGUGGGGAAUAUUGCACAAUGGGCGGAAGCCUGAUGCAGCAACGCCGCGUGCGGGAUGACGGCCUUCGGGUUGUAAACCGCUUUCGCCUGUGACGAAGCGUGAGUGACGGUAAUGGGUAAAGAAGCACCGGCUAACUACGUG